Long non-coding RNA from Zalophus californianus (California sea lion), 214 nucleotides. RefSeq lists it as uncharacterized. The transcript has 3 exons. NCBI's taxonomy places the organism in Eukaryota, Metazoa, Chordata, Mammalia, Carnivora, Otariidae. The record is from RefSeq and is a predicted model, not a curated record.
CAACAGUCCUGAGGAUCUGGUUCAGUGAUUUACUGAAGCUUGUUUGAUAUUUCUUGCAGAAGACUCAAUUUCUGAUCUGCUCUUAUAGCAGGGACCCUUAGGUGAAAGAUUGAAUCUUUGUGACACCCACUGGACGUCUGGGAAACUCCAAAGAUAACAUUUUAUUUAUUUAUUCAUGAGAGACAGAGGAGGAGAGAGAGAGAGAGGGAGAGAG